This is a non-coding RNA of Paramuricea clavata, 93 nucleotides long. The record is from the annotation of a GenBank genome assembly. Lineage: Eukaryota; Metazoa; Cnidaria; Anthozoa; Malacalcyonacea; Plexauridae.
UACCUCAAAAAACCACAACAGUCUGUUUCAUCCGUAUAGGAAUCAUGAUUCCUGAUGAUUCCUAUACGGAUGAAACAGACUGUUGUGGUUUUU